This is a long non-coding RNA of Cryptotermes secundus, 1057 nucleotides long. RefSeq lists it as uncharacterized. The record is from RefSeq and is a predicted model, not a curated record. Lineage: Eukaryota; Metazoa; Arthropoda; Insecta; Blattodea; Kalotermitidae. The transcript is spliced from 5 exons.
UUUAGUUCUUAGCAUCAGCUGUCUGAACCUUAAGUUAUUCAGUUUAAUUACAGGCUGAAUUGUAGGCGAUCAUUCUCUGCCUCUUCUUAUUAUACAUAUAUCCGUUGCCUUGUUUACACCAAAUGCAUCAAACGAAUUCGAUCUCUCGCGCUUAUGUGAAGGUUAAAUACAACUUCACAAUUCUUUAACUGCAAAUAUAUAAGUUAUUGUUAAGUCAUCUGAGGUGUUCACAGAGGUGAAGAUUUACACUGUGGAGCUCUGGAUUAUGACACCGUGUACUCUGGGAGUGACACACCACGAGACAGAUAAGGGAUAAAGGAAGAAGCCGAAAAGUUGUUUAUAUAAAAGGACCUCAUGACGAGUUGCAACUACUGUUGUACACAGAGAAACCAAGUAAAGAGAGCAAGGGCAGACUUCAGUGCAGCUAAAAUCUUCUUCACUACCUGCAUCCACACUAGUUACUGAAAGGACCGACACAACAUUUCCUUCAAGAAUGGAUAUGAAACUAUCCUAAGAAGUCAAAGUGUCUGCCAGAUAGAGUGAGUUCUGAUGCAUCCUGAGACUGAUUAUCCUGCCAACUGUGAAAUUCAUCAUGAAUUAUGUGCUGCAAUAUACAGCCAAAACAUAAUGGGUGAAGGAACUGUAAGGCAAUGGUGUAGAGUGUUCAAAGAUUGGUGAACAAAUGUUCACUAUGAAAAGCGAAGUUGUCCGCCAUCUGUAGUGAGUGACAAUCUUGUUCAAAGUGAAAGACAGUGCUUCACAAUUUCAGAAAUUUUGUGUGAAUUUCCACAAAUUUCACGCACAGUUCUCUAUCAGAUUAUCACUGUUAAGCUAGGCUAUCACAAGUUGUGCGUAAGACUGGUUCCAAAAAUGUCAAGGGCAGGCACAAAAACACAGAGAACUGCUUCAGCUUUGCGUUUUUAGAGUGAUACCACAAAGAUGGUGACAAAUUUCUCAAUUACAUUGCAUGAACAACAGGUGAUGAAACCAGGGAUCCAUUUGUGAAUGCUGAAACCAAAGAGAAGGCAAAGCAGAGGAUGCACAUACAUUCACCAAA